Alosa sapidissima (American shad) is the source of this 256-nucleotide long non-coding RNA. RefSeq lists it as uncharacterized. The transcript is spliced from 4 exons. NCBI's taxonomy places the organism in Eukaryota, Metazoa, Chordata, Actinopteri, Clupeiformes, Clupeidae. The record is from RefSeq and is a predicted model, not a curated record.
GGAAAUGUUACAAAAUAUUAUUGAUGUGCCAUAACAAAAUAUCCCCCUUACACUGUUACAGAUAUAUAUAUCUGAGGCGCAGAGAUCGUCAAACUCAAGACACAGGCAUCGGCCCUCCAGCUAUUCCAGAGAGAAGACCAACUAACAGAUCAAGACACAGAUAACAGAGCAACAGAGAUGUAGGCCUACUGCCUGAAUCUGCAGUGACUUUUUACAUACCAGGACCUGACCUGCUGUAGAUUCAAACAACCCAGCC